UCAGGAUGAACGCUAGCGGCAGGCUAACACAUGCAAGUCGAGGGGCAUCGGGAGUAGCAAUACUGCCGGCGACCGGCGCAAGGGUGCGUAACGCGUGAGCAACAUGCCCGUAUCAGGGGGGAUAAUCCAUGGAAACGUGGUCUAAUACCCCAUAGUAAUUAUGUAAGGCAUCUUAUAUAAUUUAAAGCUUUGGUGGAUACGGAUUGGCUCGCGUGACAUUAGCUGGAUGGUAAGGUAACGGCUUACCAUGGCUACGAUGUCUAGGGGUUCUGAGAGGAAGGUCCCCCACACUGGAACUGAGACACGGUCCAGACUCCUACGGGAGGCAGCAGUGAGGAAUAUUGGACAAUGGAUGGAAAUCUGAUCCAGCCAUGCCGCGUGCAAGGGAAGACGGCCCUAUGGGUUGUAAACUGCUCUUGUAUGGGAGCAAUAAGGGCUACGUGUAGUCCGAUGAGAGUACCAUACGAAUAAGCACCGGCUAACUCCGUGCCAGCCGCUGC
This 500-nucleotide ribosomal RNA is filed under the name uncultured bacterium. Its description in RNAcentral is "bacterial SSU rRNA". It matches the Rfam family "Bacterial small subunit ribosomal RNA", at positions 24 to 518 of the family's 1533-position model. The record is from RNAcentral.